UUUGACUGGGGCGGUCUCCUCCUAAAGAGUAACGGAGGAGCACGAAGGUUGGCUAAUCCUGGUCGGACAUCAGGAGGUUAGUGCAAUGGCAUAAGCCAGCUUGACUGCGAGCGUGACGGCGCGAGCAGGUGCGAAAGCAGGUCAUAGUGAUCCGGUGGUUCUGAAUGGAAGGGCCAUCGCUCAACGGAUAAAAGGUACUCCGGGGAUAACAGGCUGAUACCGCCCAAGAGUUCAUAUCGACGGCGGUGUUUGGCACCUCGAUGUCGGCUCAUCACAUCCUGGGGCUGAAGUAGGUCCCAAGGGUAUGGCUGUUCGCCAUUUAAAGUGGUACGCGAGCUGGGUUUAGAACGUCGUGAGACAGUUCGGUCCCUAUCUGCCGUGGGCGCUGGAGAACUGAGGGGGGCUGCUCCUAGUACGAGAGGACCGGAGUGGACGCAUCACUGGUGUUCGGGUUGUCAUGCCAAUGGCACUGCCCGGUAGCUAAAUGCGGAAGAGAUAAGUGCUGAAAGCAUCUAAGCACGAAACUUGCCCCGAGAUGAGUUCUCCCUGACUCCUUGAGAGUCCUGAAGGAACGUUGAAGACGACGACGUUGAUAGGCCGGGUGUGUAAGCGCAGCGAUGCGUUGAGCUAACCGGUACUAAUGAACCGUGAGG
Molecule: ribosomal RNA, 653 nt
Filed under: Escherichia coli
Lineage: Bacteria; Pseudomonadati; Pseudomonadota; Gammaproteobacteria; Enterobacterales; Enterobacteriaceae
Also listed under: 1 other name
Description: bacterial LSU rRNA
Rfam family: Bacterial large subunit ribosomal RNA
Source: RNAcentral